Molecule: long non-coding RNA, 1982 nt
Filed under: Mytilus galloprovincialis (Mediterranean mussel)
Lineage: Eukaryota; Metazoa; Mollusca; Bivalvia; Mytilida; Mytilidae
Source: RNAcentral
UACCCAAAAUUGAAUACUAAACAUAGCUUUGACGUGAUUUGGAAAUAUAUGCCACCUCUAAUAUAAUAUUUUAUAUUAAGUCAGACUGAGUAGAAUUUGAAGCUGUCAUUUCACACUCUUCGCACAAGUUAUUUCCCUUUACCAACAAUAGACUGGCUAUUAACUCAUUACAUGACAAAAUGGGUGGCUGCCCAUGCAAUGCAUACAAAGUUGAACAUAAUAUGUAGGUGUUUUUAAUCAACUUUUACUGGAAAAUAUAGGAACUUUUGAUAUUGACUUGUUUUAGCUUUAAAAAAAAAUGUAAAAAAAUAUUUGAAAACUUGCAGAUACAGUACAGAUAUGUUUGCUCUUUCCACUUGCUCUUCAUUGGCAUUGAAAAGUUAUCUCCCUCCUAGGGGUUAUGACAUAAAUCCCCCAAAUUUCUUUUUAUGCCCCACCUACGAUAGUAGAGGGGCAUUAUGUUUUCUGGUCUGUGGCUCCCGUCGUCCGUCCGUCCAGGUUAAAGUUUUUGGUCAAGGUAGUUUUUGAUGAAGCUGAAGUCCAAUCAACUUGAAACUUAGUACACUUGUUGCUUAUGAGAUGAUCUUUCUAAUUUUUAAGCCAAAUUAGACUUUUGACCCCAAUUUCACGGUCCACUGAACAUAGAAAAUGAAAGUGGGAGUUUCAGGUUAAAGUUUUUGGUCAAGGUAGUUUUUGAUGAAGCUGAAGUCCAAUCAACUUGAAACUUAGUACACUUGUUGCUUAUGAUAUGAUCUUUCUAAUUUUAAUGCCAAAUUAGAUAAUUACCCAAUUUCACGGUCCAUGGAACAUGGAAAAGGAUAGUGCGAGUGGGGCAUCCGUGUACUUUGGACACAUUCUUGUUGUUAGAUAAAAAGGACCAAUGUAGCUUAGUUGUUCAUUUGUACCCUAUCUGUCUUUUUGACAAUCAUAUUUAAUUUAUAGUUUUAUUAUCAAAUCGCCUCUGCCAAUUGAUUAUCAACUGCAUUUGUUUAAUUUUAAUUAUACCUUUAAAAUUAGCAAUUAUUUCUAAAACUUAAAUUUAGAACAGAUAGAAAUAAGGUGCAUUCAUUAUAAAUGUUUUUGACCUUACUACAGCUACUUUUUACAUGAUUUUCAAGGAAUUAAUGUAGCAUUUACUGUCAUACUAUAUAGAUUUUUUUAUGGACUUGUAAAUAUAGACGGUUUUUUUUCUUCAUUUUUUUCAUUUGUAUAUAUUGCAUUUGUUUUGUAUAUUUUAGCGACCAAACAUGUCCAUGUUACUUGUUUUCAAGUUAUUUUGUUAUUUGAUUUAUUGCUGUGCAAAACUGUUAUUACAAUACCAUAGAAGAUUAAACUAAAUUUGUAUUUUCCAUUCAUUUACAAUGAUAACUUGUUCAUAUCAUUGUGGAUGACCUUCAUGAAGGGUCUUAUUAAAAUAUGAUGUUUUAUUAUUGAUAUUUUAAUCUUCUGUAGUCAAAUGAAGAAAAUCUUUCAUAAAUUAGGGGUUUUUUUUUCAAGAUUUUUCUCCAUAAUAUUUACUUGCCAAGAAGGUACAUAAGUAUGGUAAAAUUUCUUUUUUUUUUUACUUUCUAAAAAGUUUGAAACUGAAAUUUAUGUUUAAAGUUAAACAUUCACAAAAUAUUUUUUGGAAUAUUACUUUUAUGUUUUGAUGGACUGAUGAAUCGUAUUCUUUUACUUCUACCACUUUUUCUGGUAUUUUCAUAGUUCUAAGGUCUAGUGAUAUAUCUAGCUACAGCAUUAUUGUUCUAGUGAAGUAUAAGAUAAUCAAUAUUCUAAUUCAUGUCCUUUAAAAUUUUGUUUAUCUGGUAACUUUCUAUUCUAACAACCAGAAGGAUCAAAAAAUAUAUCUGAAUAUAUAUCCACUGUAAUUUCCAUUUUUUUCACUGAAUUUUAAACACAAUUUUAUACUCUCAAAAUGUACAUGGUAACUUGGACAAACAGUAGUUGUAUUUUGUUUAAAUGUCACUAAUGAUUAAUUCUUU